GUAGGUGGCAAGCGUUGUCCGGAAUUUAUUGGGGCGUAAAGCGCGCGCAGGCGGUUCUUUAAGUCUGAUGUGAAAGCCCACGGGCUCAACCGUGGAGGGUCAUUGGAAACUGGAGAACUUGAGUACAGAAGAGGAAAGCGGAAUUCCACGUGUAGCGGUGAAAUGCGUAGAGAUGUGGAGGAACACCAGUGGCGAAGGCGGCUUUCUGGUCUGUAACUGACGCUGAGGCGCGAAAGCGUGGGGAGCAAACAGGAUUAGAUACCCUGGUAGUCCACGCCGUAAACGAUGAGUGCUAAGUGUUAGGGGGUUUCCGCCCCUUAGUGCUGCAGCUAACGCACUAAGCACUCCGCCUGGGGAGUACGGCCGCAAAGGCUG
Molecule: ribosomal RNA, 375 nt
Filed under: uncultured organism
Description: partial 16S ribosomal RNA
Rfam family: Bacterial small subunit ribosomal RNA
Source: RNAcentral